AAUAUUGGACAAUGGGCGCAAGCCUGAUCCAGCCAUGCCGCGUGAGUGAAGAAGGCCCUAGGGUUGUAAAGCUCUUUCAGCGGGGACGAUAAUGACGGUACCCGCAGAAGAAGCCCCGGCUAACUUCGUGCCAGCAGCCGCGGUAAUACGAAGGGGGCUAGCGUUGUUCGGAAUUACUGGGCGUAAAGCGCGCGUAGGCGGGUCGCUAAGUCAGGGGUGAAAUGCCGGGGCUUAACCUCGGAACUGCCUUUGAUACUGGCGACCUGGAGUUCGGGAGAGGUGAGUGGAAUUCCGAGUGUAGAGGUGAAAUUCGUAGAUAUUCGGAGGAACACCAGAAGCGAAGGCGGCUCACUGGCCCGAUACUGACGCUGAGGCGCGAAAGCGUGGGGAGCAAACAGG
RNAcentral lists this ribosomal RNA (399 nucleotides) under uncultured bacterium. RNAcentral's name for it is "bacterial SSU rRNA". It matches the Rfam family "Bacterial small subunit ribosomal RNA", at positions 360 to 776 of the family's 1533-position model. The record is from RNAcentral.